CGGAGGGGCUAGCGUUGUUCGGAAUUACUGGGCGUAAAGCGCACGUAGGCGGACUGGAAAGUCAGAGGUGAAAUCCCAGGGCUCAACCUUGGAACUGCCUUUGAAACUAUCAGUCUGGAGUUCGAGAGAGGUGAGUGGAAUUCCGAGUGUAGAGGUGAAAUUCGUAGAUAUUCGGAGGAACACCAGUGGCGAAGGCGGCUCACUGGCUCGAUACUGACGCUGAGGUGCGAAAGCGUGGGGGAGCAAACAGGAUU
This 254-nucleotide ribosomal RNA is filed under the name uncultured bacterium. RNAcentral describes it as "partial 16S ribosomal RNA". It matches the Rfam family "Bacterial small subunit ribosomal RNA", at positions 527 to 779 of the family's 1533-position model. The record is from RNAcentral.